RNAcentral lists this ribosomal RNA (828 nucleotides) under uncultured bacterium. RNAcentral's name for it is "bacterial SSU rRNA". It matches the Rfam family "Bacterial small subunit ribosomal RNA", at positions 53 to 870 of the family's 1533-position model. The record is from RNAcentral.
ACAUGCAGUCGAACGGUAACAGGAAGCAGCUUGCUGCUUCGCUGACGAGUGGCGGACGGCUGUGUAAUGUCUGGGGAUCUGCCUGAUGGAGGGGGAUAACUACUGGUAACGGUAGCUAAUACCGCAUAACGUCGCAAGACCAAAGAGGGGGACCUUCGGGCCUCUUGCCAUCAGAUGAACCCAGAUGGGAUUAGCUAGUAGGUGGGGUAACGGCUCACCUAGGCGACGAUCCCUAGCUGGUCUGAGAGGAUGACCAGCCACACUGGAACUGAGACACGGUCCAGACUCCUACGGGAGGCAGCAGUGGGGAAUAUUGCACAAUGGGCGCAAGCCUGAUGCAGCCAUGCCGCGUGUAUGAAGAAGGCCUUCGGGUUGUAAAGUACUUUCAGCGGGGAGGAAGGGGAAGUGGAUAAUAAACACUUUCAUUGACGUUACCCGCAAAAGAAGCACCGGCUAACUCCGUGCCAGCAGCCGCGGUAAUACGGAGGGUGCAAGCGUUAAUCGGAAUUACUGGGCGUAAGGCGCACGCAGGCGGUCUGUCAAGUCGGAUGUGAAAUCCCCGGGCUCAACCUGGGAACUGCAUCCGAAACUGGCAGGGUUGAAUCCUGUAGAGGGGGGUAGAAAUUCCAGGGUAGCGGUGAAAUGCGUAGAGAUCUGGAAGAAUACCGGGUGGCGAAGGCGGCCCCCUGGAAAAAGACUGGCCCUCAGGUGCCGAAACCUGGGGGAGCAAAAGGAUUAAAUUCCCUGGUAUUCCCCCCCGAAACCAAUUCCACUUGGAGGUUGGGGCCCUUGGAGCGUGCUUCCGGAGCUAACGGGUUUAAGCCGACC